This 598-nucleotide long non-coding RNA is filed under the name Glycine max (soybean). RNAcentral describes it as "long non-coding RNA (GMAX_LNC000296)". Lineage: Eukaryota; Viridiplantae; Streptophyta; Magnoliopsida; Fabales; Fabaceae. The record is from RNAcentral.
AACUUUGUUUCUUCUUCCCUCAGUUGUUCUUGUCUUCAUUACAUUCACUCUUCUCACACCUCUUCUUCCCCUCUCUUGAAGUUUCGUUUUUUUUCUCUUCUUUGCCAAAUCCCAAACCACAGGUUGCGCCGGUGAAGGAGGCUAUCGUGGCCAGGUGAAGAGAGGGAGAAUUCGGUAAAGUUAAUAAAAAAGCCCUUUGUUUAAUAAAUCACAAACCUGUAGUUUCGGUAGUAGCUUGGUUUCUGCUGCUUCCUGAGUUUGAUUUCACCUUCUCCUUAGCAACAAUGCCUCAUCAAUUUUUCACUCUAAUCGAACCACCAAACAAAACCCCAACCUCCAAGCCAUUCUCGAGCCUCCAGGCCAAGACCUGGACUUCAUCAGAAAGCAUUUGUGUAUUUUCUUCCAAACAAAGGUAAAUCAUUGACCUCCUCCUCCAACACAAAAUCCCCAAACAUUUGCAUGUCUUCCCUCUUGGAAAAAAGCCAUUGAUCCUUUCCUCUCUGCCUCACACAAAAUUUAAAGUCCCCACUAGGCACCACCUACCACCCCCUCUCUUGGAAAAAAGCCAUUGAUCCUUUGUUAUAUCCUUCCAAGCCCC